CGGAGGGUGCAAGCGUUAUCCGGAAUCACUGGGCGUAAAGGGCGCGUAGGCGGUCUGUUAAGUCUGGCGUUAAAGCCUGGGGCUCAACCCCAGAUCAGCGUUGGAUACUGGCAGGCUAGACGGUUGGAGAGGCGAGUGGAAUUACCAGUGUAGCGGUGGAAUGCGUAGAUACUGGUAGGAACACCCAUUGCGAAGGCAGCUCGCUGGACAACACGUGACGCUGAGGCGCGAAAGUGUGGGGAGCAAACCGGAUU
This 254-nucleotide ribosomal RNA is filed under the name uncultured bacterium. Its description in RNAcentral is "partial 16S ribosomal RNA". It matches the Rfam family "Bacterial small subunit ribosomal RNA", at positions 526 to 779 of the family's 1533-position model. The record is from RNAcentral.